CCUACGGGUGGCAGCAGUGAGGAAUAUUAGUCAAUGGGCGGGAGCCUGAACCAGCCAAGUCGCGUGAGGGACGACGGUCCUAUGGAUUGUAAACCUCUUUUGUCGGGGAACAAAGGCGCCCACGGGUGGGCGGAUGAGUGUACCCGAAGAAAAAGCAUCGGCUAACUCCGUGCCAGAAGCCGCGGUAAUACGGAGGAUGCGAGCGUUAUCCGGAUUUAUUGGGUUUAAGGGGUGCGUAGGCGGGCCUUCAGGCCGGCGGUAAAAUUGCGGGGCUCAACCCCGCCGAGCCGUCGGAACCGGGGGCCUUGAGUACCGGAGAAGUACGCGGAAUGCGUGGUGUAGCGGUGAAAUGCAUAGAUAUCACGCAGAACCCCGAUUGCGAAGGCAGCGUACCGGCCGGUCACUGACGCUGAGGCACGAAAGCGCGGGUAUCGAACAGGAUUAGAUACCCGAGUAGUC
Molecule: ribosomal RNA, 459 nt
Filed under: uncultured bacterium
Lineage: Bacteria
Description: partial 16S ribosomal RNA
Rfam family: Bacterial small subunit ribosomal RNA
Source: RNAcentral